This 449-nucleotide ribosomal RNA is filed under the name uncultured bacterium. RNAcentral's name for it is "bacterial SSU rRNA". It matches the Rfam family "Bacterial small subunit ribosomal RNA", at positions 354 to 796 of the family's 1533-position model. The record is from RNAcentral.
GUAGGGAAUCUUCCGCAAUGGGCGAAAGCCUGACGGAGCAACGCCGCGUGAGUGAUGAAGGUUUUCGGAUCGUAAAGCUCUGUUGCCAAGGAAGAACGUCUUCUAGAGUAACUGCUAGGAGAGUGACGGUACUUGAGAAGAAAGCCCCGGCUAACUACGUGCCAGCAGCCGCGGUAAUACGUAGGGGGCAAGCGUUGUCCGGAAUUAUUGGGCGUAAAGCGCGCGCAGGCGGUUCUUUAAGUCUGGUGUUUAAACCCGAGGCUCAACUUCGGGUCGCACUGGAAACUGGGGAACUUGAGUGCAGAAGAGGAGAGUGGAAUUCCACGUGUAGCGGUGAAAUGCGUAGAUAUGUGGAGGAACACCAGUGGCGAAGGCGACUCUCUGGGCUGUAACUGACGCUGAGGCGCGAAAGCGUGGGGAGCAAACAGGAUUAGAAACCCCAGUAGUCC